Molecule: transfer RNA, 73 nt
Filed under: Nesterenkonia sedimenti
Lineage: Bacteria; Bacillati; Actinomycetota; Actinomycetes; Micrococcales; Micrococcaceae
Rfam family: tRNA
About the family: Transfer RNA (tRNA) molecules are approximately 80 nucleotides in length. Their secondary structure includes four short double-helical elements and three loops (D, anti-codon, and T loops).
Source: Rfam by way of RNAcentral
GCCCGAGUAGCUCAGGGGAUAGAGCAGCGGCCUUCUAAUCCGCCGGUCGGGGGUUCGAAUCCCUCCUCGGGCG